RNAcentral lists this small RNA (66 nucleotides) under Pedobacter alluvionis. Its description in RNAcentral is "Flavo-1 RNA". Lineage: Bacteria; Pseudomonadati; Bacteroidota; Sphingobacteriia; Sphingobacteriales; Sphingobacteriaceae. The record is from RNAcentral.
AUCUAAACCCGAUAAAACGAAUGCUCCCGAUUCUUCAUCGGAGCAGCAGUGAUAGCGGGAAUACAU